CCUCUCUCUCCCCCUCUCUCUCCUUCUCUCUCCCCCACCCUUUCCCUCUCCCCCUCUCUCUUUCCCUCUCCCCCUCUCUUUCCUUCUCCCUCUCUCUCUUUCCCUCCCCACCACCCUCCUUAUCCUAUUGGUUCUGUCCCUCUGGAGAAUCCUGACUUACACAGUGGCUGUGUUUAAUACAGCAGUAUCCUAAGUGGGAAAAAGAACUUGGAUCCCUGAGUCACCCCCUGCUUGGAGGACAGCUACCGAAGAGAGUUGACAUUGAUAUUGGACUGUAAUCUGGGGAGCCAUCAAGUUACUAAUAAUCCAGAAGGAAGAAGGGACCUUCAGAUGAAACAAUACAAGAAAGACUUUCAAAAAGGCACGUGAAGAACAAGACAUCUGUAAUGCAGAAGAUCCUCUUUUCUUGCCCCUGCUGGGAAGCUAUCUCUGGUUCUAGAGCAGAAGGCCAUCACAGAAACUCAGCCAAACAGUAAAUUGGAGGUGAGGUUUUCACCAGGACCAUGAAGACUUCACUUCUUCAAUCGGGUAACUUCCCAAAGAAGUAUUUUCCUACUUUAGAGAUGUGGAAGGAUUGGGAGCUGCUACUCAAGAUGAUCUUACACAUGCACUGAAUGGUUUGAGCAUCAUUCUUAUCAUUGAUUAAGGGGCUGGAUCAACGGCUGGACUUCAGGCAUGGUCAGAAGGAAAAAGGAGCCUAUAAUUGGCCAUUUCUUGGCUGGGUCAUGACCACAGCAAGGGCAUAGAUGUUUAAUAGGCAGUGUAAGGUUACAAUUCCAAAUAUGCAUUAACUGAACCCAUCAAUGAUAUCUAGCGGGGACAACGGGAGGACUUGAGGACAAUUGAUGAUGGUAAGUCAUUUGACAAAAAUAGGGCCUGAAAAAAUACAAAUUUUGGUUCUAUAUCUUUUGAAAAAUAUCACUCCUUAGUUGUCACUUAAGCCUAGGACCAAAGGCUAGCUAGCUUCCCUAAUCACUAGGCUUACUUACUAGAGCAAAGGGUAGAGUGUGGGUACAGGCAUCUGUUGUUAUCUUGCCCAGCAUAUAUUUAUUUAUCCCUCUUCCCUUGGUAACAGCACCCUUCCUUUCCUUUGAAUAACUGUGCCUACUGCAUUUCCAUAUGGCCCUGGGGGGCACCAAUCCUGGUACCCUGUUCCUGGGUAGGUUCAUGACCUUACAGGUUGGCCAGACUCAGUCUCCCAGGAAUCUGAAUUAUAGGUGGAGUGAAAUAUGAAUGGAAGGUGAAUGAAGACAAGUCAAUUUGAUGGCAGUUCUCAGAAAGAAUGAAUCGGAGAUCCCUGGUACUGACCUGAUGUUCCUGACCUUCUUGUGGUCCUUGAUUCUAUGAGUUACUUAGUGUUCUCUCAAAUAAACUAAUCCUUAAAUUAACUAGAGUGGCUUUUCCGUUUCUUAUAGUCAAAGAACACUGAGUGCUCCCUGCCAUGGUGCCCCUAAGGAGAGAAAGGCCAGUCUCUCUUUCUUUUGCUCUGUCUGUAUAUGUGUGCAUUUGUG
Molecule: long non-coding RNA, 1511 nt
Filed under: Homo sapiens (human)
Lineage: Eukaryota; Metazoa; Chordata; Mammalia; Primates; Hominidae
Description: HSALNT0242572
Source: RNAcentral